This 840-nucleotide ribosomal RNA is filed under the name uncultured bacterium. RNAcentral's name for it is "bacterial SSU rRNA". It matches the Rfam family "Bacterial small subunit ribosomal RNA", at positions 88 to 913 of the family's 1533-position model. The record is from RNAcentral.
AAAGCGAGCGGCGGAUGGGUGAGUAACACGUGGGGAACCUGCCCCUAAGUCUGGGAUACCAUUUGGAAACAGGUGCUAAUACCGGAUAAUAAAGCAGAUCGCAUGAUCAGCUUUUGAAAGGCGGCGUAAGCUGUCGCUAAGGGAUGGCCCCGCGGUGCAUUAGCUAGUUGGUAAGGUAACGGCUUACCAAGGCGACGAUGCAUAGCCGAGUUGAGAGACUGAUCGGCCACAUUGGGACUGAGACACGGCCCAAACUCCUACGGGAGGCAGCAGUAGGGAAUCUUCCACAAUGGACGCAAGUCUGAUGGAGCAACGCCGCGUGAGUGAAGAAGGUUUUCGGAUCGUAAAGCUCUGUUGUUGGUGAAGAAGGAUAGAGGUAGUAACUGGCCUUUAUUUGACGGUAAUCAACCAGAAAGUCACGGCUAACUACGUGCCAGCAGCCGCGGUAAUACGUAGGUGGCAAGCGUUGUCCGGAUUUAUUGGGCGUAAAGCGAGCGCAGGCGGAAAAAUAAGUCUAAUGUGAAAGCCCUCGGCUUAACCGAGGAACUGCAUCGGAAACUGUUUUUCUUGAGUGCAGAAGAGGAGAGUGGAACUCCAUGUGUAGCGGUGGAAUGCGUAGAUAUAUGGAAGAACACCAGUGGCGAAGGCGGCUCUCUGGUCUGCAACUGACGCUGAGGCUCGAAAGCAUGGGUAGCGAACAGGAUUAGAUACCCUGGUAGUCCAUGCCGUAAACGAUGAGUGCUAAGUGUUGGGAGGUUUCCGCCUCUCAGUGCUGCAGCUAACGCAUUAAGCACUCCGCCUGGGGAGUACGACCGCAAGGUUGAAACUCAAAGGAAUUGA